UUUCCCCUCUUCCCCCUCUCUCCUGCCAGGAUUGUCCUUCCUCCAAAACCUUUUACCCUCCGGUAUGCUCCACUUCUUCUUCAGCCCAAACCCCUUCCUCUGAACAUGCCCCAGAAGCUCCAGCCUCUCACUAAUGAUGCAUCACCUCUGUCUUGGCUCUGCUGAAACACUGUCGCCUCAUGUGUUGGCUCUCCUUGCCUCAUACCUGCUGCUGUCACACUACUGCCUGACAAGCUAAGCAAUAAAUGCCAAAACCACGAACCUGCUCUUGUGGGAACUGCAGAAGCCUUGGCUCAGUUUGCACUUCCUACAAGUGUGCCCAGAUGGGAGAAAAAAAAAGGGCACAUCAGAGGAAAAAACGGGAUCUGUGGUGGCUCCCUUCUUAUUUGGUGGUUUGGAGCAGCUUUUCAGACUCAUAAAAGCUCGAUAUGCAAAAUGGUGGUUUGCAUAUUUCAUUGAGAUCAUAUGGAGAUGGGACGAUUCAAGCUGUCAUCAGGACCUGAAGUUUUCGGAGAAGGUUCUACCCAAGGCAGCAGCUCUCCGGAUAUUCUUCUGAUCCCAGCUGUGACUGUGUGGGUUUAAAGAUGAACAGCUUCUCCCCAUAUAAAGCCCUGCAGAUGAGAACAAACCAUCCAAGCUGUUUGUGGGACACCAGCACUAUGUGCAGAACUGGGCAAAUUUUCCUGUUACGCAGGCAUUUUCCCACUGCAUUAGGAAGAACCACAACACUCAAAUAGUUUUCCUAGGGGGAGCAAAACACAAAAGUGAGAUCCAGCUAUCCUAAAAUUGCUGAUCAGGGCGUUUACCUCAGUUACCGAACAUCUGCAUUCAAAUCCUUUCUUUGCCUCUUUCACACCACAGAUGGGAAUGUGGGUUUCCCACAUCCCAGGCUUGUGGUUUUACCACCAGGCUACUUGUUCUUUGAAAGCAGGUCUUUCUUUUGGUUUUUACAUCUGCUCAUGUGAGGCAGCUUACUUGAUAAGCAAACUGAAUCACUCAGUUUUAACUCUAAUUUGCGAGAUGAUUUCAUGUUACACCAUCACACGUAUUUUUGUGAGUCUCUUUUUAUUGAGGCUGUUGGGAAAUAACCUAAUAACAUCUUUCACAAAAAUGACCAGGUUAGUAACAACUAAAUCCCUGGGAGAAGUGGGGGUCACAAAGAGUUUCCUGAUUUAAUUUUCUCUGUAGUUUAUGGUGGUAUAUACCCUCCCACUGUAUAUAAGUAUCCUUACAGAAGCACCCACAGGAGUCCACGGGACUUUUGUCACUGAUUUCAGUGACAGAAACUACUAAUUUCAAGAAUACAAGAAUUCUGAUCUUUUGCAGUCUCUGCCUGAACAUGCAACAUUUUUCACACAACAGCUCUAAGAGGUGUUUGUUGCCCACCCAAGUCUUAACACGUUAUCACAAGGGUGUAGCGCUGAACACCACCACAGCGGCUUGGGCUUAUUUAUGUGAAUUAAACACGGGAACACACUUCCUAAAUGAGACAGCGUAGUCCCGGAGGGUUAAUGCUUUCGAUGAUCUGCUGAGUACCGCCCAAAAACAGAGCCCCUUAGAUGCGCACUGAAAGGCAAGGAGCUGGAAGUUGUCACAGGCAGUUGCAUAGAACAAAGCUCCAGCCUCUUUAAAUUAAGAUUCUUGCACACCAGAUGCAUAGACACGACAUAUUUAUUUCUGACCGUCCAAUUGAAAGAGGGAAAACAAAGCUGGCCAAAUUAAUCCCUCGCAUGGGCCGCUCGACACCACUGGAGUUACCCUGGGAAUAAUCUUCAUUAGGAAUAAGGUUCACUCCCUUUGGCCGAGACCUGGCGACGUGUUUCAAAGAGACUGCUCGGGAUGUAACACAGGCACACGACAUUAUCAUACAUUCAUUGACACAUUGGAGUCUUUUGUUUACAGGGAAUUACGUUUUUGACCUUUUAGUAAGGAAAAAGGCUUUGCUAUGCAAUUGUUAACUUGCUUCCUAAAAAAAACCAACACCCUUGUUUAUUAACAGAGCAUCCCAGUAGUUAUAAUAACAACAAAACCUUGCGCUUCAUUUUGAAACGAGCGAAACUUUAAGGCGCGCCCGAAGUUUCCCAGCAAUUCCACAAGGCCUCUGCUGACACCUUUGUGACCAGCUACAGAUAAAAACGUUGGGGUUUUAUGUUUA
Columba livia (rock pigeon) is the source of this 2155-nucleotide long non-coding RNA. RefSeq lists it as uncharacterized. Lineage: Eukaryota; Metazoa; Chordata; Aves; Columbiformes; Columbidae. The record is from RefSeq and is a predicted model, not a curated record. The transcript has 2 exons.